RNA transcript from Bombus terrestris (buff-tailed bumblebee), 18255 nucleotides. RefSeq lists it as uncharacterized. The transcript has 4 exons. NCBI's taxonomy places the organism in Eukaryota, Metazoa, Arthropoda, Insecta, Hymenoptera, Apidae. The record is from RefSeq and is a predicted model, not a curated record.
ACGACGAUCUCGUUGCUCGUCCGCGAGAAGUAGACGAUCGAGCGUCGAUCGGCGUUUGCGGCGUGCAACGAAGUCGGCGCGGCACCGCGGGCCCCUCCAUCUCCAGCGACGUCCGAUUCCUCGACCGUCGUUCACCCGGCUACGCAAACGCGUGUACGCAGCCACGCUUAAUGCAUUCAAAUGAUAUUCACUGUGGCGCGCUGACGCGAGUGCUUUCGACAAAUUAACGCCGCGUAUCGAGCGACUAUCUGUCGCUGGCGUGUUCACCGACCGUGCGGCAAAGUAGUCGCACCGGUGUCUUGCGCAUCGAAUGCGUAAUUGGGAGGACAGAUAAGAUCCGGCCCGAUUCCCGAAUCGGGCCCGUCCAUUUACCGUGGAAUCGCGCGCUGUCGAUCCAACGGCGUUCCGGCGCGAUUCGCCUAAGCGAUCGCGCGACGGUGCGAGAAACGUCUUUCCAAAGUAACGCGCAAUUCCCAAGGUUGCGGUCGGAGGCAGUGGAGAGACGCGGAAACUCGGUUCGGCGUUCGACGAGACGCAGCGCGCCAUCGAAGGGAAGACGAUCGGAUCGCGUCGGACGUGGCUCGGGUCGGGAAGGCCGAUGGGCGCGUCGUGGAAAAGGUAGCGCGGCUCGUUAAAACUUUCGGCGAAAGAAAAAUACGAUUGGAAGGAGUUUGACCGUUGAUCCGGAGUUUGGGACGAAAAGGAGGCCAAGAGGGAGAAGGUUUUGUCGCCAUCUCUCGGCGAUGUUAGGAGGCGCGGUAGCCAUUUUGUUUCUGGCGGUGGCCAGAAGGUCGCCGUGGUGUCGCGGCACACCCGCGCAUGUCCAUUGGUCCCUCCUACGUUGUCCUCGCGGCGGUGGCGGCAGCGAUCGCGGCGGUGGUGGCGGCGGCGGUGGCGGCGGUGGUGGCGACGGCGGCACACGGCGUUUCUCUGCUCGCUCUCGUCUCGCUCGAGCGACGGUGCCGCUUCCUCCGGUGCGCGCCCCUUCCCCGGCUUGCCGCCGUUCGCCUCUCUCCGCCGCUCACCCAGGCCCCCACCUUCUGGGCCCACCUUCCCUUUCGCGACCCUCGACGCCCCUCGCCGCCCCUCGCCGCCCCACGACGUCUCUUGCCACCGCACGUCCAAGCUCUGAAACCUCUGCUCCUCUGCACCGCCGCUUUCCUCCUCCGCGACGACCUCCGGCUCCCGCUGCUCCACCCGCCGCUCCUCCCGCCUCCGGCGUUUCUCUACCUCCAGCCACCGACGCUUCUCUCUUGCUCCUUCGCGAUCUCUCGUUCCUCGUCGCUCGUCGCGCGUCGUCUUCCUUCUCCGUCGACAGCCACGGGCCGGCGUCCGUGUCCACGAUAUUAUCACUCCGUUUUACUCGCGAUUUAUCGGCCUUUAUCAACUCCACCGGCGGCGAACGGUGUAUCGUCGUCGUCGUCGUCGUCGUCGUCGUCGUCGUCGUCGUCGUCGUCGUCGUCGUCGUGGAGAUGCUACAGCGAUCCGACAACGGCAGCCGCAACCGCGGCUACGGCCGAUUUCUCGAUUCCGAUGAAUCGAAGCGCGCGGGGCCUAACGCCGUCGCGUACCCUCGUAAAUCAGCGCGGGUGGCUUAUCGUCUCGUGCCGGCAGAUCGAGAAACACUCCGUGCCUUCUCGCUCGAUUCCUCGCGCAACCCCGACACGCCGACACCCGUUUCUCCCGGCACUUUGACUCGUUUCCGUCGUUUCCGCGGCAAUCCGCGUAUUCCUGUCACCGCCGCCACGUUCCCGUAAAUCAUUCGCCGCGCGGCGUGAGAACGACCACGAUCGCGCAACCACUUCGAAAACGUUCGAUCGAACGCCCCAUCGAACCGGACCCGGAUCACACCCGGAAUCGAUUUUCCCGAGCGGCGAAAAUUGCCGCGAGGCGGUCGAAAUUCCAGCCAUCGAUCGCCAUGGCCUUUAAGAGGGAAAGUUUUAACGGGAUACUCGUACGGGAACGGGCGUUUCGAGAACUCGAAAUAUGUAGUUGGUGCGCGCGGUCUGCCAAUCUCUAUUCAACGCGCGCCGCGUUGCUGUCAUAAAUUAGAGAGUCGAGUCACGCGCGGCGAACUGGUGUAUGGAGCGCGGAUAUUUACAAGUAUUUACAAACUGCGAUAUCUUCUGGUAUUACUGUCCAGCGGGAACGCUGGCUCACGAUAAUUUAAUAUUUUCCGAAUCGAUCCAGCGUCGCGUCGCCUCCGCCACCGCUGUCCCGCCAUUUGUUUCGCGAUAUCUUCGACCACGAGAGCCGCGAUACGCGCUGCUCCACGGGUAUCCGAAGAGGCAUCCGCGACUAAUUCGAUCGAACGAGAGCAAGCGGGAUCACGCGGCUAUCGUUUUCGAGCGUUGGUGCCGCCGCGGGUCGAGUCGAAGCAAGUUGGUCGGGUUAAUUUACGAUCGCGGCGGCCAUCAUCGUCCAAGGCCCGCUCGCGGAACUCGACUCCCACGUUCAUCCGCGAUCGAACGUCAGAUUGAACCGCGUAUUUCUCAGCGUGCACAUCCGUGCUAUCUGGCAUCUUAUCCGGCGUAUCGGCCGCGUCGACUACCGCGGCGACUAUACGCGAUGCUCGAUUCCGCCGCGUUUUAUUCCCACCGAUCGUUCACUCCACGCGAACCAGGCCGACGUUUCCUCCUGCGUCGGUCGCGGCACGCUAAUUUAACGAUCCUUUGAAAAUUCUCGAUCGAUGCGCGAGCCCCUCUACCGAGAGUGCUCGUCGCGGCCAAGUACCUGUUGAAAUAGGAAGACGCGCUCUUAAAGUCUAGACGCAAACGAGCGUAACCGUCGUCGACGUAGAUUACGGCUAACGAGCGUUUCCCCAUCCUUCUUUCGCUCUCGAUGAUUUCGAGUGGCCUUUGCCGAUCGCGAUACGCGUGCCGCAGAGGCCGCGGGGUGCUGUUCGAUCAUCGCCAAAAAUCGACGAAAUCUGAUCUGGCCGCGACUCUUCUUCUUUUCUCCGGCUGUUCCCGAGCGAACGAGCGAACGAGCGAACGAACGAGCGAGCGAACGUGCGAGAUGGUAUUCCAUUUCCCGUCGUCAUAGUCGUCGGUUUACAUCCUGUUGGUCGGUGGAGGGUGCGCGGUCGCUCGGCGAUGACGAUGGAACGCAGUCGGUGUGCGUCCGAAGCGUACGCGUAGUAGGUAGAGGUCAGUGGCGCGUGGUGGUAGUCGUAGUCGGGUGUACAGUGUAUAUAGAUCGGAGUCAGCGAUGCACGGUAGAGUGCUUUCGAGGCGAGUGCAGUAGAGACUCACGGUGUUGCACGGUCUGGUGAUUAGCGCCGCCCCCUGGGGACGGGAACCGCCAAUCGGUGGACGGCGUCGCGACGCCCGCCGUCGUCGCUUCACCGCGCGAACCCGUCGGGAGUCCCCCUGCAGGUCCGCACAAUCGCGGAUAUAACGGAUAGCGUGAGGCAAAGCCACGACAAAAAUCAAUCACCCGCUGCUUCCUCCUGUUCUCUCCACGCUCACCCCUUCUACCCUCCGCUUUCUCGCUCUUUUCCCCCUUUUCCCUCUUUAGCCCCCGCUUUCUCCCGGUCUCUCUACCUACCGCCGAGUCGUUUUCCUUCUUUUUCGCGAGCUCUUCUUCCUCCCUCUGGCUCUAACGAUAUCUCUCUCGCUCUGUCUUUUUGCCGCCAACGCUGCCUUCUUCGACCACUUUCUUCGAUGUCAUCCGGCAUCAUCCCUCCGUAAGGAGCGGGAGCUGCGUGGCAGGAAAUUUUCGUCGAACGCGGGUAACGCGUGUCGAUCGAGCGAAAUGCUCGUCGUCUUGCGAUCGCGGAGAUCGUCGUGUCUGGUACGCGCGCGAUCUUGGAACGACGAGGAGAGAAGGCGAGGGAAGGUCAGGAAGCCGAGACGAAGGCAGUAUCGCAACGCGCGCGCGUUGGUCGUGACCGAUUUUAAACGCGCGUCGUCUUCCCACGUUUUCACGUAUCCUGUUCACGCGCGCGUAUCGAUCUUGUCCGCGUCGAUCCACGUCCUCGUGGCUGAGACGCGUACGAGCGGGGCAAGGACAAGCGAGAUCUCGUCCGACCCAGCGGACUGACCGACGACCUACCUUGAAUUUCAUUCACACACACGCACACACAUGCGCGGUGAGGUCGCGUCGCGACGCUUACGCGGAAUACGAAACGACGUUCCCAUGGAUAGAUAGCGCGGGACCAACAGCGUCGUUCGAUCCGACCGAAAUAAAACGAUAGCGCGUAGCCUUUAUAGGACACACCGUAGCGAGCCGUAGGAAUACGCGCCCGUGUUCUACGACCGCCUUUCUCUCGCGGCCCCAUGCCGCACGUAUCGAGGGUUAACGAUCCCUGUUUCUAGGCACGAUGGUCGCACGACUAAUCGAAAAUGAAUUUUUUCACGAUUCUCCGUGGAUGCGCUCCGUGGGAGCAAACGGAGGGCUCCCGUUAUCGAGUACCCGCGGUUUUUCCAGAAGCCAGUCAAUUUCCUGCGAUCGUUGGCUCGUUCGUUUGGCGAAGUGUCGGGAGGCGUAGCGGAGAACGGUGCGUGCGGUGGCAGACACGGAACGGGACGCAUCGGGACGAUGAAGCCAGAGAGCGCGGAAAGUGCAGGCCGUGACUGAAAACAUCCCAUGGCGAUAAAGAUCUCCCGGCGAUUAAUUGGUACGACAGCGGCACACAUUGGCGGUGCGUUAACGGGUAUACGGCUGCCGUGCGGUAACCGGGAUAUCGUGCGCGAUAUCUCCUUAUGACGCCGGUCGACGACUUCCUUCGCCUCCUCGGUCUCUCCGCGCGACGUGACGCGACGUGGCGCGACGAAACCAACAGAAAAAAAUACAGAGAGAGAGAGAGAGAGGAGAAAACGGAGGGAAGAAGGCAAAGAGGUGGAGCGACGCGGGCGUCCUGGGAGCGCCGAUAAAGAAGGGAUCUCGAGGUUGUCGCGCUGCUUGCCCCGGAACUCUGGUUCCGGGAAAGGUCCGCGGGGAAGCCAGCUGCCGGAAGUUGCCAAGGCAAGGCGCUGCUUGCCGCCGCGAAAGCUCCGCCAGCCUGACCCGAAACGAACCGCAAGCACGUUGCAGGGAUCUACUUGCCCUUCGCGGGUUCGAAUCCCAGAUUUCACCCUAUCUCCGCUUCUCUCCUUCGCUCCAGGCAUCCCCGAAGCUCACGCUAGCGAUAACGUAGGAAUCUCGUAGACGUUCCUCUAUCCUGGAAUUUCUUAUCUUGGGGAUAGUAUCGGGGAGGAAAGAGCUUCGGAUAACUCGGACCUCUCCUUUUACUCUUCGAGCUUCGUCGAGUCGGCCGAUGCGAGAUCUCUGGUCGAUCCGCGAAAAACCGAAGUCGCUCGUAACGUUAGCACCUUUCGCGCGAUUUCGUCGGCGCCAACGUUAAACGAUUUUACAGAUCCGUAUCGGAUAAUCCAGGCCGAUCGGACUAAACGUAAAAGCGUGCAAGUCGAUCGGCAGUCGACGGUGUUUGGAAGCCGCGUCGCGUAGACGACGACGUUACACGCGCGCUUCUGCUCGGUCGCGGGACGCGAGAGCGUCUACGGGUUUCGUCGUUUGUCUUCCGGACGAUAAAACGCAGCUGCGACCGCCGACUCGGCUCCGCACGGCCCGGGGAUCUUUCCGAUUGCCGCGGUCUUCGAGGUCAGCCUCGUUGCCCGUGGCGCACGCCGAACAUCGUUGGUCCACCACCUGCUCCUUCUCGCAACCGUUUCACCUGCGCUCGCUACGCGGACGGUACCCUCUCCGACCGGGCAAACUUUUUUUUCGCGUGCACACGAGCGAACCGCCACUGCGCGCCUCGCGGUAGUAUCUCCGAUACUUCCGUUUCGUCGUGGAACGGUUCGCAACGGUGACGGCGGGAAAAGAAACGGCCCGUUUGCCGAUUUACGUCGCUCGACCUGUGCGCGUUUCACGACAAAGUCGCCUCGAUUUUACGAUUCGUCUUUAUAGCCGCGCGAUUUUACGAUCGCUCGGAGAAUUAGCGAUCCGAGUACCGUUCUCGAGGUAGGCGUCUCCCUUUCAUCGGCAACGCGUGUAAAAUAAAUCGUCCGGUUUAUCGCGAAUAAACGCCGGCAAGAGUUAAUAAACGGACGCGAGGACGAGCGAAACGAGAACACGGACAGUACCGUCGUUCGCAUCUUCGCAGGAUCGCUGACGAGAUCGUAGUAAGAGCAACGCACGGGGAACACCUUGCGCGACAGGUGCCAUCUCGUUCGCGAGUGUGUAGCGCGUGCAUGCUCGACGAAGGAGAGCCGGUGGCCAGGCUCUCUUUCGGUUUGGUUGCCGUGGCUGUGUCCGGUCCCGUCGGUAGACGGUAUCGCCGCUACUUAAAAAUAUGUUAGCGACCGGUAUAUAAGCACCGUGACCUCCGCGAUACGAUCUAAAGGGUCCCAACUCCGAGCCCGAUGGCACGCCGUGCGUCAGAUGCUUUUACGGGCCGACACCGAAGGGUGACACGAGCGGAGAACGACCGUGACUGUAACCGUCACGCGGUCCCCGGAAAAAUACCGGCACCGAAUAUCCCGCGGCCCUCGUCCAUCGAUAAGCCACCUCGAAGAGGGACCACCGCCCUGGCUCGCACGCGUGCACGGCCCUUCUUCCUCCAGUCCACCGAAAUGCCAAAGCCUUGGGAAUUUUGCCGAACUGUUCGUGCAACGGUGUCGGAGCGACGCGCGUCCAAGACGCGCAACGACAUUCGGUAGGACGAAGGUCGCAUCCCGCGACAUAGCCACUGGUCUAAUAAUUCAUUUUAUGGAAAUACGGUGGGAAAACGUGGACGAAGGCGCGGGGAUAUCAGUGGGAGGCGCGUGGCCUGGGACAGCAUAUUUUGCCAGAAAUUUAGCGUGGCCGAUUUCGAGCCAAUAAAUCAAACUGACCGACCGGUCGGGGAUGAGUCCAAGCGGAUCUCCAUAUCGAGAUUCUUUAGCAUAUAGAGUGCGGCGGCUUGCGUAACCCCUCGUACUUCGCGAGCCGGUCCACUCGAACGGAGGAGACUACGAGAGAGUGUGGCGCCCUUCUUUUCUCAUCUUCCAUCGGCUUCCAUCGUCUUCCGUCUUUCACCCCUGUUCCGCCAGCCGACGGUGGAUGGUCCACGAGGCAGCUCGUUGUUUUAUGAGCUGGCCCUGGCCGGGGGUUACCGCUCGAGGAGGCGGCGGCCGGUUGACUGAAUAAAAAUUACGGAAUAUGUUGCAUAUAAAGUAAGUGAAAAACAGACCGAGAUGAUGAAUUACCACGAGCCCGAGCGGGGGUGGCGAAGAUAACGGCCAACGCCAUCGAUCACUGGCCCUGGCCAGCAAUGACGCGACCUCUUUUCUCCUCCUUUCGAGCCACCGUAGACUAUCGUCGUCGUCGUGGUGGUCGUCGUCGUCGUGUUCGCCUUCUUCGCUGCUUCGCUCGUUCUCGAGCUUCUCGCCUGCGGAUCGACGACGAGUUUCCUCGAGCCCGAUAUGCGCUUCGGUAAGAGUUUCGCGAUACAGCGAUACGGCUACGAGCGAUCCCCCGUACACAGGAUACACCGUGAAAGGUGUGUAAAGCGAGUCUAAGCGCUGAGCAAAUCCAAACUCCAACGAGAGAAACAUCGGUGCGAGGAUAGGAAAGAAGAUGUUGGACGACGAACGAGCGGAAGGGAAAGGAAAAGGAGGGAAGACGAAACGGUGAAGUCGAGCGAAAACGGCGGAGGGCGAAAGGAGGAGGAGAAGGCGUGAGAGCGGAGCAAACAGGGAUAUAGGUAAGCAGGGGCGGAGAGACGCUUUCGAGGCUCGAGAGUAGCGCGAAAUCUGCAUUUCAGGCUUCCAUCCUCGCCGCGCUGCUGGCGUCUCCCGCGCGGCUUCCUGCAACCCGAGAGCUUUCCAACGGCUCGCAAACACUCCGAGUCGCGGUAAAGCUCCAAGUCUGUGUGCGUGUGCGACCAACGACAGCCGCCGCCAACCUCUCCACGCUCUCUCGCCAUCUCUUUGUCGUCACCCUACUUUUGCUUUCGCGCCUCUAUUUGUCUGGCGAGAAUCGAACCGCGAGUUUUCUAAGAACGCGCGUCAACGGUAACAUCGUCUUCUUCGCGCGCCUCGUCGACCAAACUCGAUCCUCUCGUGGCUGGAUUCUCGACCAGAGCGAAAGGAAACGAGGCACGCUCGUGGCCGAAACUUUGCGUUGCGGCGCGAUGAAAAAUCGCUUUCCUCGGUCGGGCCAGCCGGCCGGAAGAAGGGCGAGAAUAGCAUGGACGCAAGAAGAGGCGAAGGCGACGGGUAAUUAAUCCGCGGUUUUUCCUCGUCUAAUUAGUUGGAUUUAUUCCGUUGGUUCCCCUUAUCCAACGGGUCUGCUCCUCUCGACGCGGUCGUCAGUCUCCAGCCGGCGGCUCGACCGGUCGGUCUUUCGCUCGCACCGACUCGCAACUUGGACGGGCUGAUGUAUGGAAAUGUAUGCGGGGAGACGGAGGCUCGCAUUUUUCCAGCCACGCUGCCUUCAUUUCCACCCCACCGAUCCCCACCGAUCCCCGCCGUGCCUUCGCCCUCGUCGGUCGCUUCUCUGCCCUCCAACACCGUCACCACCACCGCCACCGCCACCACCGUCACCCCCUUUCUCCGAAGCUCGUCUCGCUUCUUUCUCGACUCGUGGCAGUCGUGUCAUCCCCCUUAAUCACGCGUCUACUCGUUAAAUUCGUGUCAGGCCGCGGUGUUUCUCGCGGCCGUUCUCGGAACGAGCUCGCGAGAUCCAACGUACUUAACAAGGGAUCCGCGUGCACGCGCCUCCGCACAGCUUUUCACUUUCCAUUCUUGGUCUCUCCUUCUCGUCAUCUUUCACCCGUGCCCGUCGCCGGCCUUUUUAUCGUCGUCCAACCCUCCCCUCCAAUGUCCGCUUAUAAGGUCGCGCGACUUGUCGACAAAUUCCCGCACCUUUCGUCGUUCGUCGUUCCCAUAAUCUACGGCCGAUCCGUAAGCUUCGCGGCUCAAACAGCUACGGAACGGUGUUUUUCGCUUUCGUCGGUUCCUCCCGUUGGCUGCGAGCUCGAGCGUCAGGGCUCUGCGACCAAUUUUCAACGCCGCCUUUACGUGACGCGUAUAAAUUCUUCCCUACGUUUAAUAUUUAUGCUCGCGGUGGACGCGCCGCGAUAUCGGCGCUGCGAAUUUUUGUGCUCGUUGUAAUAAUUAGCGGAGGUGAUGCAACAGCGAUCGUUGCUUUACAUCGUUACGUGACCAAAUUAAUUUUUCAUCCGAUCCCGUCGAGUUUUAAUUAAACGCCGCGUUUCGGAUAAACGCGGCAGGCGCGCGAGGCGCGAUGACGGGGCAUUUCGUUCGAAUAAUGAGCGCUCGAGUACGUUUCCCGCAGCGAUUUCGAUCGGGAGAGGGUGAAACGCGCGCAGGGACGCGUGACAAAACAUUAAUGUAAAUGACGCGGCCGUGCGUUUCACCGGGUCCAUUUUCUCACCCGUGGAAAUUACUUGCGUCGCAACGGAACACGCUCGAUAAGAAAAACUUUUAUCCGCCACGCAACUCGCCGUCGAAUCGUACGCCGAUACUUUCGACGGAUCAAGGCAGCAACUUUCGAUGAAAUUUCGUCGUCCGACAGCAUCGUGGGAAUCGGAGGAGUUGCAGCCACAGGAUCCCUUGGGCAAUGCUCCGAGUUCUCGACACACGAGAUGCGGAGACCGGAGAUCCCCGGCAAGAAAAACAGUCGCGAGUGCGCGAGUUACAGAGCAACGAUCAGCGGAGCGGCAACACAAAAGAAUCGCUCGGCCAUGUUAGCGUCUGCUCUUUUCCACGACCAACGCAUGGUUUUUCGAUCGACGGUGCGAAAGAAACGCGCGUUCGACCAAAGAACGAGCGAGCGCGUUCGUCGAUGUAGCGAACAAAACGAAUCUCGUCGAGUAAAAAAAUCGUAACCGUUUCGUUGCGGAAGAAUAUCGGAGUAAUAGAUAAAACACGAUAAGUGCAUACCGCAUGAAUUAUGCAUCGCCUCGGUAUACGCGAUAAUUGCCGCGCUUCAUUAAAACCAGAUCGCUCAUUGUCAAGGCAAGAACGCGCGGUUUACGAAGCCAUAAACUCGUCACGAGCAACGAUCGAUAUCGUUAGCGAGAAUCAGGAUCGCCGAUGGCCAACAACCACCGCGUCGUGAUCGUGCUCGGUCGAAUCUCUCGCGCGAUUGUCGACCGUAUUUUCCACGAAACUACGAUCAGAGGGCAGCUAUAAGCCCGAAUCCGAGCGGUUCCCUACUCUUAUCGAGAAUUAAACGUUCGCUGGAAUCGCUAACGGUUCGUUCGAACGCACGUUCGCGAUCGGCAACGGACACUUGGACACGGGCGAAAAACCGCAGAUGCGCUGCGAGACAGAAAUGGCUAGCGGGAGGAGGAGAAGGAACUGGGGGAGGAGCAGCAGCAGCAGCAGCAGCAACAGAAAGACAAGGAAUAAAGAGGACGGACGAGGAGAGGCAGCAACUCGCGAGUCGCGAAGGACAAGGAUCGUUGACGGUGAUCGUAAAGACUCGGCAUUAUAGUCGGUCGUAAGCCUUCGCCGCAUUGUACGGAUCGUGUGCACGCGCGCCACACCACCGGAGCCAUUCUCCAUAACGGACGAGCACACAGGAAGCACGCGAAUUCUGCAGGAUGCCCCAGGAAAGGCAAUCGAAUCGAUCUUUCUGACGUUUCACCCCCCGCCGUUUCAGUUCCAACGGAGCUAUUUAUCGCGGAAAAAUAAGGAAAGAAGGAUAUACGCGUUUUCGAUCGAUGCUCGCCACUGCUACCGCCGUCGCAGCAACAGCAGCAGCAGCAGCAGCCGCCGCCGCCGCCGCCAUGUACUUGAUAAAAUAAAAAGGAACGUCGAUCGCGAUUUCACGCAACAAAAGCAACGGAUAUUUUCCCGGGAAGAGAACGUUCUCGAGCCGAGGUUGGCUCGUAAUUUUGUCGGAAUGCGUGUCGCGUAUAACGCGGCAGCUACAAAUCGCGGCGGCGCAACGCCGGCCAAGCGAAUCACGGAAAAUCGCAAGCGAAAGGAAAGCUGACAUUCGCACCGUUUCAAUUUAUCUCUGGUUUUUAACGUUUCAAUUUAAUUGACGGCACUCGAACGACAAAGAGAGGCUCGAGAGAGGCAGAGUAGGAAGAGACGACCCGAUUAAUUCCUUUGUCGCCUAUCUGCCGGUGGAAUAACAAACCUCUUCGGCGGACGGGAGUCGAGAGGAUACAAGUACGAUAAAAUCACGAGGGUCCACGGGACGGUGGAUAAAAAGACUGUAAAGUGAGAGGGGGUUCGGGGGACGAGAGAGAAUAGGGGGUUUUUCUGAGGGUAGGAGAGGUCUGGAAAGGGUGGAGAGGAGACUCUGUGGACCUCCAAGUCCUCCCUUCAUUUUCCAGGAUCGGCCGCGCUCGUGAGCAGAGGGAGGAAUAGCAAUUAAAAGUAUCUGGCACAAUCUUCGUUAAACUUCUUCCUCGUUCUUCGUCGUCGGAGGGAAGGCAUUAUUAAAACGUGCCGUCGGCUGCAACCACCGUACCCCCUGCUCUCUCCCAGAUUUUCCCCCCAUCCCUCGGUAUCUACCCGGCUCUUCAGCCUCCCGCCGCGCUGUCGCGAGGACCAUUCUACGUUUUCAACUCUUUUGCAUAGAAAAUACCGCCACUCCGCCGAAUCCGCAGUUGUAAGUAUCGCUGUUCAAAGAUUCUGACAUCUUCUUCGGCAGCAUGGAAUUUCGUCCCUUUUCCGUUUUUCCCUCCUUCCUCCUUCCACCUUUUCCGUUUCGUUCGUUUCCUCUUGCAUCGAUGUUCUCCUCUUUACAUAUAAAUUUUUCAUAGAUUCUCGCCGACCAACUCGAAGAUCAUAUCGCGACCAUUGCCGAGUAAUUUAAGCCGCCGUAACGUGCCGCAUUCUUUUGAAACGUGGUUGGCGCUUUGCUAGGGCGAUCGCACGAGAGACACGUUGCUUCGAGAGAAAUUUAAAUCGUCCUAGUAAUUAUCGCAUCAACCGUAUCAAAUUAACGAUCGAAGGAACAAAAGUGCCUAAUAGCGUUGUUGAGACAGAGAUCUCGAUUAUACCGUUGGCUUUCGUGGAAAAUGGAAGGUGCGAGAGCGUACGAUUCCUCGAGGGCGAAACGUCACGACGGAAGCCUCGGUUUAUCGAGAAUUUUGAGAAUGGUAAUGCGGAAGCCCGGGAAGAGACAGAGGGAGAAAAGGAAGACGUCGAGCGGGAUGCGGCGAAGCCGAGAGGUCCCUGCAAGGUAAGAAAGGGAGAAUAAGUUCUCAGGGUCUCUCCGAGUAAUCCUGCUGCCGGCACGGAGGUCGAGGAAUAUAGGAUGAAAAUACCUGGAGUUAGAGAGGUCUUACUUGUCUCACACCCUCUUUCCACCUCUUCUCCGUGGUCUGGCUUCUCGCAUCGCUAGACCGUCGCCCCAAAUAAGACACAAGUCGUCAUAUAAUUCCACGACUAAUGCUCGUCCCUAUUAAACCCUAACGACGUUAACGUCCCGAUUAUUAUUCCUUUGUACGAGAAGUCGACGAGAAAUCGAUGAUACAAGAUCGUUUAUCGAGUGUUUCUACUUGUCGUUACAACCGUAACGCCGUGGCGUCGAGGAUUAAAUUCUUAAGUUUGGUCGGCCACCAGAUGACGAUCGUGUGCCGUGUUUCCUGUUUAAAUAGUCUGCGGGACGAACGCUCCAGUGUCGAUUGCCGCCGAGUUGAUCGACGAUUUUGCAAGAGUGUCUGUUCGAAAUUACCGGAUCCCGUGGGGACGAUCGUGCGAAACUUUCAUACCAACGACAUCACGAGCGACAACGUUGCUCGAACAUCACCGGAGAGGACAUUAUGUCACAGUUGCUGAGAACGGCUCUCACGUUUACGAUUGGCAAUAGUGAGAAAGCUACCCACAAUAUCGCUCGAUUAUUCCGUUAGACUGUUGGAAACUUACCUUGAAACGUGAGAACUUUUCUACGGUAAAGAUUUUUAAUGCUUCGUCGGCCGUUACGAAGAUACCUCCGCGUACCGCGAAAUAAUGCGAUGAAAAAUCAAUUUUACGCCGCUCAAGUUACCACGCACGGAAGUGUUAUUAAAAAAACUAUAUUAGAUCGUUCGAUUUCACUCCACUAUUGUUUCCACAACGAAGGAAAAGAUCGUUCCAGAUUGUAUUUCGUUCUACAACUACAUUUUUCUUUUUUCUUUUUUUUUUCAUGUUUCAUCGAUGAUAUUUGCCAAAACGAGGCUCGGAAACGUUCGUUGCGAGUAUUCCCGGGUAAAAAUAAAUUAAUUAACAACUAACGAGCAUGCGAUCGUAUAGCUCGGUAACACCCACUUGGCUGAAACACAUCGUUGGGAACUCGAGAUGAAGAAAAGCAAAUACCUUCGAGGGGGUGGCUGCUGCUAGCUCAGCCGAAGGGAAUGGGUAGCGGAAGAACGAGAAAGAAUUCCGUCACGAUCUCGUCUGCGCUUGCUUUGUCCCCUGCUUUGAUUUCUUCUCUUCGGUACUCGACGAGCGAGAGAGCGAAAUGCCGAGGGAAUGCGAGAGGGUAGGAGACACGAAACGGAGAGGCACAGACAUCGAGAGAGAAAGAGGCUUUAGCUGGUUCGGUACCGGGAGAGUGAACGAUAUUUACAUGCGAUUUGCAUACUAGUUGAUCCCUAUUGCUUCCAUCUCCAACGAGCCAGCAGGGGCGGCGGACCUACACCCGAACCCUCCGUCAUGCCGCGUUCUGCUUCUCUUCCUCUUCCUCUUCCACUUCCUCUUCCUCUUCCUCUCGUUUCACGAUUCCACGAGUUUUCAUCUCUAUCUGUGCUCCUCUUGCCACGAGUAUCUCCGUGGAGAACCGAGACUUCGCACGUUCUCGUCGAACCGCGUAAGCGAAACCCUUAACGCUAAAGCGAACCGGAGCGGGACGUACCACGUUCCUCGAAUCCUUUCUGCCUCGUUAUCAUCCUACGCUUUAACGAACUGUCCUCCUUCUCUUUCAACAUCCUUCUCCUUUUGUCCCCUUUCGCUUGGUUUUGUCGCUUCUCGCGCGGUUCGCUUGCUCGUAAACGGUUGUAAAAAUUCACGCGUACGAUUCGGCAAUACGAGAACGAGAUAAAGGAAGGCGAUAGAAAGGGAUCGAUUCGGUGGCGAGAAGAGGACGAGCUAGCUGGAUGUUUCCAGAUUUUGCUUAGGGUUCGGCUGGAUUAAAGGAAGUUGGCAGAGAGACGUAAUCAGGUCAUAUAAAUGUGGCUGGCUAAUUGCAGAUAGUCGGUUUCACGGGAAUACGCGUUAAGAAACCCGCAGAAAGGUAAGACCACGACGGUGUUCUUACGUCUUCUGACGGACGAAGAAGAAAGGAAGGGACUCGGUGCUUUCCUAUCUCGCUAGCAAAUGGGGAAGCCAAAUUAGCCGGGAUAAUCAAGUCGGUCGAGAAAGAUGGAAGGAGGGUAAAGUUACCACGGCGACUAAAGGUUGUUUCUUCAACGACGUAAAAUUGGCCAGGUUCUCGCGGAAAUCACACGGAAUACACGAGUUCCCGUGGUAUUAGUUUCGUCGGUGAUUUUCUCUGGAAGCAGGAUUCCGUCUUGAAACGAAGCUGGACAAUUUUUCGAGAAGCUUAAUUAAACGGCGUGACGAAGAGAGCAAAGUUUCGCGUAUCGAGGAUCGUUCUAAACACGAUUCUGUCCGUUCGGUAUCCCAUUUUUCGUCGAGGGGUUAAAAGGGAGAACAAGCAUGGGAUAGGGGGAGGGGCGGGUAGGGGAGCGAGGGGUAGCGGAGAAGGAACGAGGGAUGAGAAUUUUUUAAGAAAGCCGAGCACGGGUCCAUCCAAGAACGGAGAAGCAACCGAUUGAUAUCUGAGCAUGUUGCCACGUGAGCUCCCGAAGCACGGCGUCUAAUUAACUCCGUGACUGGCUGACCCUAGGUGACCCUGGACUCGUUGCAUGCUUCGAUGGCGCCUGUGUGCAUGCACAUACACGCGUCCAUCUACGUGCACACGUGUUGCAUCGGCUCGCACACCUAACGGACCGCUAUUCCGUCGUAGAUAGAGACAUCAUCGUGCCACCGACCAGCUCUACACCUUAACCUUAUACGGUGCUGAGCCACGGAGGAAGAGAAGACCCUUUCCUCGAUCGCGUCUCUGCACGAACAGGCCGAUGCACGAACUCUUCGAAGCAGAUGUUGCAUCGGAAGGAGAAGAGGACCGCGCCAGAUAUCCGUGAAAACUUAUUGUCUCGUUCGAUUCUCGGACACGGCUCUCGGCCGGCCGCCGAACGAUGAAACCGUUAAUUCUUGGUCGUCGUUCGCCGAUUUAUCGCGGCGAACAAAGUCGAGCAAUCGAGGCGAGAUCGUGCAGACCCGGUUUUUCACACGGCCUCGUGUAAAACGUGCCACCAUGCCACGUCGAAGAGAUAGACGUACCGCUCGCGAUGCCCCCGGUGUUUCGUUAAUUAAAACGAACGAACGAACGAACUGGUUAAUUUUAUGCGAGUGGCGAAUCGGGCCGGCGUGCAUGGCUUUCCCAUUACCGCGCCCACCUCCCUCCUGCGUCGAUUGGUCAUUGGUGUCACAAACGAUCAUGCUCUGCUCCUCUGCCACCGCCAUCGCUGAAUAUUGACGUUGCUCCCUCCUCCCCUGUGUAAACCCCGAUGCGUUAUCGCUCGCUAAAAUAUAUUUUAAACACGUAGCAGCAUCGUUCGUAGCCGUCUUGCGGAAUACUUUUUGCAAAAUAAAUAUCUCACGAAAGCAAAUACUUAUAUUCUGCAAGGCUUAUCUACCGAGCGUAGCUUCUACCGCGAUAGAAGCACAACGACCAGACACUGAUUCAUUUUACUUAAGCCGAGAAAACGCGGCCAAAGCGGCGUUUAAUGUGCCCAGAAACAGUGAUACAGUGUUUAUUGCCGACAGACGCCUGGAAUUUUGAACAGGCUCGACGACACUCGGAAUACGCCGUUUUAUUUCAUAGCCACCCCCGCUGCGCGCGUAAUGGCGAAUAAAUUUUAAUGAACGUCAAAAAAAUAAACAGCCGGUUUCACUUAAACGGAGGUAAAUUUGACCAGUCGUUGUCGAGCCGGCGAUUACUUCCCGCUACUCUUAAAACCACAUCGAUCGUCCAACUUGUAAAAAUAAGUUGCUUCGGCGAUAUGGCGGGACGAAACGGCAAGGAAAAAAAGAGGAAAAUGGGGGCUCUUCGCUUUGGCGUAAAAUUUGAAUCGAGCCAGGGAAAUGUUUGCCGGUUCUCGGAAUGGCGCGCAGCGUCACUCGUAUUUUUCGGAGGAAUAAAAAUUUUGUUAGCCGCUAGACCGAGCGAUUUCAAAAUUCCGAUCGGCCGCGAUGAGGGAUCGCGGUCCGGAGGGAGCAGGGAGGAUCCACUGUGGAAAACAGGGUGUGGCGCGUGAGAGCUGGCUCACCUGAAACAACACAACGUUUUCAGAUCGCUGAUCCCAUAAGCGUCCACGUUUGAUCCCUCCGUUGUUUUGCGAACGCGUCCGCCUGUCUGCCGGGUUAAUUCGCGAAAAACUAGAAUCGCGUUCUUCGACUCAAGCAGAAACGCGUUACGGGUUUUAUGCCGCGUUACGAAUUCGACGGUUCUCCGCCUCUUUCGAAACAACGAUACCGAUUAUCUCGCGGAGAUCUCGAUGACCCUUUUAAAAACUCUGUUUUCUCCAGUCAAUCAGAGUGAUUUCCUGUGAAAGGCGACGCAGUUAUCUUUUUCAAUUGCGCUUUCCAGCUGGUGGCCGAACAGAAUUUUUUUAUCGAGGGGUGAAAAGAAAGGCGACGGGGAUGGGGUGAGACUCGUCAAGCGAUGUAGAAUAGUAGAGAUAUAUCGUGGCGUAAUAUGCAAAGCGGAUCGGAUGUACCCGGCGGGGGGUGAAAGCGGUAGCCAAGGGGUGAUUAGCGGGACAAAAGCUGGCGCCGCUACAAGUGGAACCAAAUUGGUAGAAAAUUGAUAAUCAACCGCCAAUAUCAACCUCCAUUGGGAACCGCGUGGCUCGUUAUGCUCGAGAAGAGGGCAAAGGAUUACACAGAAACACGCGCGAAAUAUUUGUUUCUCGGAUAUAAAGGCUAGCCGCAAGACGAUACGUGCUAUAAAAUCGUGCAUCUCUUGGAAAUUAACGCGUACUAUGUCGAACGCGCGUCGACGACGAGACGAGCCAAGAUACAGGAACGGAGAGCGGCAGCGAAGGAAGAAACGAAUGCCAAAGAAAAGGGAUGAAACGCACGACGUACGAAGAGUAUUCACUAAAGAGUCAAGAUCAAGUUGGCUCCUGUGAAUGGAACACGUGUACCGUGUCACAUCUAUCUGAAAAGUUCAUCGUUUCGGAGAUCUCGUAAAAAAGUUUCCUAGAAUGCGAGCUAUCUUCGAGGCCAUGGUGGCGAGUGUGUAAUCGAAGGAAUUGUAGAACACUUUUCUCAUGCAAAUACACUCGAUGCCGAGACCCGGAGAAGGGACAACGAACUUCUUUGGGCUGCUUAAAACUUCGAACUUAGGUCCUUUUAAAUUUAAAUGCUCUCCCCGGUCGAACAGCCGUCGUGCGUUCUUCUCUCGUACGGCUUCUCGCGCCGGUGUCGUAUAGAUGGUAAUAAAAAAGAAAAGAAAAAAAGGAAAAUACGCCAAAGCGUACGAACCGUGCGAUGGAUCGCGACGCCGGGAUAAAAAAAAAAAUGUCAUCGAUAUCUCCUCUUUACGCAUGGAAUAGCAUUCGCUGUACGUUCGCGAAAUUGUAUCGCGGCUACUUUAACGCAUAUUUCAAUGCGAAAGCAAAAAUAGUUUUCAGAGAGAUGGCAAAAAUUCGACCUGUCCCGGAACAACAUUUUCGAGCAAUUCUAGCGCGUUCGGUCAUUGUUUACCUGGAAAUUUUACAACCUUCAUAAAAGAUCGUACGCGUAUUCGCGUUGCAGUAAUUAUCGAAACGAAUAAAAUUGUCGGCCUGUAUGUAAUAAUAAGCAGACAGGCGAAUAUAAACGUAAUAAUCGCGAAAACGUGCGUUCGAAUCGUAGUAACACGAACGUAUCAAAAAUUAUUAUUUGCCGCUCGACGUCCAAUGACCAGAAAAAUAUUUGCCUAAAGCGCGCGCACGCCGUUGAUGUGCCUCGAUACGGAUCGCAUUUGAAAUUCGAAUUAUUAUAAUUACGGUGUGCGAUUAAAAAUGAGAAGACAGGAGGGAGGGAUAAAGGGAUGCGUAACCUCCGCUGUUCAAUGAUAUAAUUACAAAGAGUUACAUGGUAGAAUGCGUCUACGAGCUGCGCUUAUUAAACCGAAAAUUUCAUGCGCAUUAAAUUAAGAAUAGAUUGUAUGCAUUAUCAUCGUGUGUAUCCCACAGAUAUUUUUCCCUGGUGAAUAAAAAAUAAUAAAGAAACGAAUGUAAUGAAUAAA